Acanthosepion pharaonis is the source of this 109-nucleotide non-coding RNA. The record is from the annotation of a GenBank genome assembly. Lineage: Eukaryota; Metazoa; Mollusca; Cephalopoda; Sepiida; Sepiidae.
UCACAUCCUUGCCGAAUCGCCGGUUCGCUUAUGAUCACCGAAGUUAAGCAACGUUGGACAUGGUCAGUACCAAGAUGGGUGACCGCUUGGGAAGACCAUGUGCUGAAAG